GGAACCGAGGCAGGCAGAGAGGAGGGUGGGAAGGAAGGAGAGAAGUAAGGAGGGAAGGCAGGACGGUGGUCAAGCACAAAAGACGAUGAGCGUUUUCUUGGAGGACAAGAAGGUAGGGCCAUGAGCACCCUGUGGACACGUCUUCUCGGUCAGGUACAGAAUUUCGAGCUGGGAAAGGGAACCUGGAGAUCACCACCCGCCUCCCCCGCCCGGCCCCAGCUCUCAGGACUUUUCCAAUUGGACGACAGUUAUGAAGGCUGUUCCUCCAAACCUGCUCUGGAAACGGGAGAAAGCAUCCAGGGAGAGAGAGACGACGAUGAAGAGGAAACCUGAGUGUGAAAGAGGAAAGGACAGUAAGCAAGCGAAUGUCAGCCAUGGCUUCUCUGACUUUCUUCUUGGAAUUUCGGGGCAACAAACAAAACUGAGGAGACCUCAGGGUGUCCACUCGCCCCUGCGAGGAGAUGACUAGUUUCUGGGCAAAAGCAGUGUGGGCGAGGGAAGGAUGCCCGAGGCCUCCUCCCCAGAGAACUGACAGUUCUUUAUUUUCAAGAUUGCUUAGCUUUAGAAUUACUAUCAGUCAGGGUCCAAACACUGAUAGAGACACCAUGCUGAUUAUUUUAAUGGAAAGAAUUUAGUAUAAAGAAUUAUGACUCAACUGUUGGAGGACUAAAAAGGUGAAAAAAAAGGUACUGAAGUAUCAUGGAGAUUUAACUGCAAGAAGCAGCUGCCAGCCCAAGGCUGAGGGAACAAAGGGAAGAGGUUGGAGGUGGCCUGCGUGGCUCAGGCCCUCCCUCUGAGGAGGAGGCACUGCCCGGUGGGACAGGAGCCCCAGGAGCUCGAAGGUCUUGUGGAUCUGGACACAGAACUCUGAGGGGGGGCCCUGCCAGCUGGUGCUGGUGUCUGAGGAGGUGUGAUGAGGCUGGUUAUGGAAGUGUUGGGAGAAUGGCAAACUGCAGCUACUGGAACCAACUGUUGCUGUCAGGGUGAAGAGCAGU
RNAcentral lists this long non-coding RNA (995 nucleotides) under Equus asinus (donkey). RNAcentral's name for it is "lncRNA (ENSEASG00005028095.1)". Lineage: Eukaryota; Metazoa; Chordata; Mammalia; Perissodactyla; Equidae. The record is from RNAcentral.